RNAcentral lists this ribosomal RNA (253 nucleotides) under uncultured prokaryote. RNAcentral describes it as "partial 16S ribosomal RNA". It matches the Rfam family "Bacterial small subunit ribosomal RNA", at positions 524 to 776 of the family's 1533-position model. The record is from RNAcentral.
UACGUAGGGACCAAGCGUUGUUCGGAUUUACUGGGCGUAAAGGGCGCGUAGGCGGCGUGAUAAGUCACUUGUGAAAUCUCCGGGCUUAACUCGGAGCGGCCAAGUGAUACUGUCGUGCUAGAGUGCAGAAAGGGCAAUCGGAAUUCUCGGUGUAGCGGUGAAAUGCGUAGAUAUCGAGAGGAACACCUGAGGCGAAGGCGGGUUGCUAGGCUGACACUGACGCUGAUGCGCGAAAGCUAGGGUAGCAAACGGG